Nicotiana tabacum (common tobacco) is the source of this 3504-nucleotide RNA transcript. It is a transcript of the gene named coatomer subunit beta'-1, with no coding region annotated. Lineage: Eukaryota; Viridiplantae; Streptophyta; Magnoliopsida; Solanales; Solanaceae. The record is from RefSeq and is a predicted model, not a curated record.
AUUGUAACUUCAAUUCAAAGCAUCAUCUACACAUGAUUUUCCCUACCUUCGUCCCAUUUUCUUCUUCUUCUUCUUCGUCUUCUUCUUACAGAGGUUGUGCUGUGACAUUAGCAAAACCUCUACGCACUUUCUCUCUCUUUCGAUCUCCCUUUCGUCUGUUUUCUGGCACUUUCCACUUAGCUGAGUAGCUAGUGGAUCUUUAGGAUAAUUCAUACACAAUUCUCUGAUUUAUUCCCUUUUCAGCUAAGUUCCGCAUUCAUCUGUUAAAAUGCCUCUAAGGUUGGAGAUUAAGAGGAAACUUGCUCAAAGAUCAGAAAGGGUAAAGGCCGUGGAUCUACAUCCUACGGAGCCAUGGAUACUGGCAAGUUUAUAUUCGGGGACUCUUUGCAUCUGGAACUACCAGACUCAGACAAUGGCACAAUCUUUCGAAGUCACUGAAUUACCAGUUAGAUCAGCGAAAUUUAUAGCACGCAAGCAGUGGAUUGUUGCUGGUGCCGAUGACAUGUUUAUUCGUGUAUACAAUUAUAAUACCAUGGAUAAGGUCAAAGUAUUUGAGGCGCACACAGAUUAUAUUAGGUGUGUGGCUGUUCACCCUACUCUACCAUAUGUGCUGUCAUCAUCUGACGACAUGCUUAUAAAGCUCUGGGACUGGGAGAAGGGAUGGUUAUGCACUCAAAUUUUUGAGGGUCAUUCCCAUUAUGUGAUGCAAGUCACAUUUAAUCCUAAAGACACCAAUACUUUUGCUAGUGCAUCUCUUGAUCGGACUAUAAAGAUUUGGAACCUUGGCUCUCCUGAUCCUAACUUCACGCUGGAUGCCCAUUUGAAAGGGGUUAAUUGUGUUGACUAUUUCACUGGUGGUGAUAAACCAUAUCUAAUUACUGGUUCCGAUGAUCAUACUGCUAAGGUCUGGGACUAUCAGACGAAAAGUUGUGUCCAGACUCUUGAAGGUCACACACACAACGUCUCUGCUGUAUGUUUUCAUCCAGAUCUUCCUAUUAUAAUCACGGGGUCAGAAGAUGGUACUGUUCGUAUAUGGCAUGCAACUACUUACAGACUUGAGAACACGUUGAAUUAUGGACUUGAAAGAGUUUGGGCUAUUGGCUACAUGAAAGGUUCAAGAAGGGUUGUAAUUGGCUAUGAUGAGGGAACCAUUAUGGUAAAACUUGGUCGAGAGGUACCUGUUGUUAGCAUGGAUAAUAGUGGAAAAGUCAUAUGGGCUAAGCACAAUGAGAUUCAAACUGUUAACAUCAAGAGUGUGGGGGCAGAUUACGAGGUUACUGAGGGAGAACGAUUGCCUUUGGCUGUCAAGGAAUUGGGAACCUGUGACCUAUACCCACAAAGUUUAAAGCAUAAUCCAAACGGAAGGUUUGUCGUUGUUUGUGGAGACGGAGAGUACAUCAUAUAUACUGCUCUGGCCUGGAGAAAUAGGUCAUUUGGCCAAGCCCUGGAAAUUGUUUGGUCUUCUGAUGGAGAAUAUGCUGUGAGAGAAAGUACUUCAAGGAUUAAGAUUUUCAGCAAAAAUUUCCAGGAGAAGAAGAGCAUCCGGCCCACUUUCUCUGCUGAGCACAUCUAUGGGGGUACUUUAUUGGCAAUGUGCUCAAAUGAUUUCAUUUGUUUCUACGAUUGGACUGAGUGCAGGUUGAUACGAAGAAUUGAUGUUAAUGUCAAAAACCUCUAUUGGGCUGACAGUGGUGAUCUGGUGGCUAUUGCAAGUGAUUCUUCAUUUUACAUACUUAAAUACAAUCGCGAUAUUGUUUCUGCACAUUUAGAUAGUGGAAGAUCUGUAGAUGACCAAGGUGUUGAAGAAGCUUUUGAACUUCUUUAUGAGAUAAAUGAACGGGUCAGGACUGGAAUUUGGGUUGGAGAUUGUUUCAUUUACAAUAAUUCUUCUUCGAGGCUGAACUACUGUGUAGGCGGUGAGGUUACCACAAUGUUUCACUUAGACCGACCUAUGUACUUGCUGGGAUAUCUUGCUAAUCAAAGUAGGGUUUUCCUGGUUGACAAAGAGUUCAAUGUUGUGGGAUAUACUUUACUGCUCAGCUUGAUCGAGUACAAGACACUUGUGAUGCGUGAUGACUGGGACAGAGCAAAUGAGGUCUUGCCAUCAAUUCCGAAGGAGCAUCAUAAUAGUGUUGCUCGUUUCUUGGAAUCACGAGGAAUGAUUUCGGAAGCAUUGGAAGUUGCAACUGACCCUGACUACAGAUUUGAACUUGCCAUACAGUUGGGUAAAUUAGAGAUUGCGAAGGAAAUUGCUGUAAUAGCGCAGAGUGAAUCCAAAUGGAAGCAGUUGGGUGAUCUAGCAAUGUCUGCUGGAAUGGUAACUGAUGCUUACAGCCACUUGAGCCCCCCUUUUUUGGGAAAACAAAUUCUGAGAAAGGAGAAUAAAAACCACUUGAAUUUCCAAAAACAAGUAAAUCUGGAGAUGGCAGAGGAAUGUUUGAAGCAUGCAAAUGACUUGAGUGGUUUACUGCUGCUUUAUUCUUCAUUAGGAGAUGCUGAAGGAAUAACUAAACUAGCAUCUUUUGCCAAAGAGCAUGGGAAAAACAAUGUUGCAUUUCUUUGCCUGUUCCUCUUGGGUAAAGUGGAUGAGUGCGUUCAGCUGUUGGUUGACAGCAAUCGGAUACCUGAGGCUGCAUUUAUGGCAAGAUCUUAUCUUCCAAGUAAGGUGUCUGAAAUAGUUGCUAUUUGGAAGAAGGACCUCAAUAAGGUUAACCAGAAAGCAGCAGAAGCUUUGGCUGAUCCUGAAGAAUAUCCCAACCUGUUUGAGCACUGGCAAAUUGCACAUGCUGUUGAAGCUAGAGUCGCCGAGGAGAGGGGUGUGUACCCACCAGCAGCAGAUUAUGGAAAUUUUGCUGAUAGACCAGCUACCAACCUUGUAGAAGCUUUCAGCAACAUGAGAAUGGAUGAAGAACCCCUUGAAAAUGGAGAUAUGGAGCAUGAGGUUGUGGAACAGAAUGGUGAUGAGGUGCAAGAACAUGAGCAAGAUGACAAUCAACAAGAGAGCCAAGAAGAUGCUGUUGUGGUUGAUGCUGACUCUACUGAUGGUGCAGUACUCGUCAAUGGAAACGAGGUUGACGAAGAGUGGGGUACGAAUACUGAAGGAAAACCGUCAGCCUAAAAGCAAUUGGUUGGGCCGGUGUAAAAAUCCUAAUUUUGUUGCUGUGCUUACACCACGUCACUAGGUUCAGUGAAGAGAGUUGGUUCCAGCUGUAUGUAAUCCAUUCCUACUGUUCUCAACGUAUUGCCCAAUUGGCACGAUGAAGGGACUGGAUGUCUGUUUUGAGUGGUGUGAUUUUGUAGCAACAGGUUUUGGUGGCAUUUUGUAGAAAACAUUUGUACCAGCUCGGUUAUUAGCAUAGUUUUAUACUCUUCUAUUCUUUACGAGGCAUACAAUUCUUUAACUCGUCAAAAUUCGUUCAUGCCACUGUGAAUGUAGAGGAAACACUUAUAUCAUAAUUCAUAUAUAUGGAAGUGGAAAUACUGCGGAAGUGUUCUAAGUUCAUA